UGAAUUCAGUUCCUAAACUUUGUCUAGGUCACACCCUGCAAGGGGUACUCCUGGGCCAUUAGCUCAGGUGGUUAGAGCGCACCCCUGAUAAGGGUGAGGUCCCUGGUUCAAGUCCAGGAUGGCCCAUUCGGUGUUGGGGGUAUAGCUCAGUUGGUAGAGCGCCUGCUUUGCAAGCAGGAUGUCAGCGGUUCGAGUCCGCUUACCUCCACUGAUCUAACUCCUUAUAACGAAGUUUGAGGAGAUUUUGUUUGAUGUGAUCUAGAAUUUGUUCUGAAUCAAUGAAAGAACCUAGCUUCUUGUCAAUAAAGCUAAGUAAACUAUUUAAUUAGCUUUAAAAGAUAGGACGCUGGGCUCCCUGCAAUAGAUAUUGCAGAGAUGUUCAGCAGAACCUUGACAACUGCAUAGUGAGUCUGGAAAAAAUAAAGCAUCUCAUGGAUGCAUUGUUUUUUGAGUCCAAAUUAGAAGUCUGUUUUCAGAUUUCUAAUUACUCAGACAACAAUGUUUAAUUCUUGAGCAAGAGCCGAGACUCUAUAAUUCACUCUUAAUUGUAUUAAUUACAUUAAGAGUUUGAUUUUUAAUUUUAUUCCAUCGGCGGAAAGUUUAUAGAUUAAUUCUAAAACUAUCAGCCUAAUUUCAAUGGUUCAAAAUUAAAAAAAAAGUGUUUACUAGCGCUUUUGUUAUAGAGAUUAAAUGGUCAAGCUACAA
RNAcentral lists this transfer RNA (705 nucleotides) under uncultured Prochlorococcus sp. RNAcentral's name for it is "partial 16S-23S ribosomal RNA intergenic spacer; may also contain 16S ribosomal RNA and 23S ribosomal RNA". The stretch from base 136 to 208 matches the Rfam family "tRNA". Lineage: Bacteria; Bacillati; Cyanobacteriota; Cyanophyceae; Synechococcales; Prochlorococcaceae. The record is from RNAcentral.